Molecule: non-coding RNA, 213 nt
Organism: Salmo salar (Atlantic salmon)
Lineage: Eukaryota; Metazoa; Chordata; Actinopteri; Salmoniformes; Salmonidae
Source: RefSeq, a predicted model, not a curated record
CUCGCUACUGGUGCGCCUAUCCGGCCUUCGCGGAGAUGGUCAGGUUCAACCGGGCGCACGAGGAAGCUAAAGUCCUGUCCUCCCAGCCAGGCCAGGAGAGCAAGGCCCUUGUUGCCAUCGGGAAGUACAAGUGGGACAUGCUGCAGGACCUAUACGAGGCUAAGGGUGCGGACAGGAUAAAAUAUGUCAGGAGCAUGAGGACGCAGACACCCG